UUAAGUUAGAAAGGGCGCACGGUGAAUGCCUUGGCACUAGGAGCCGAUGAAGGACGGGACUAACACCGAUAUGCUUCGGGGAGCUGUAAGUGAGCUUUGAUCCGGAGAUUUCCGAAUGGGGAAACCCACUGUUCGUAAUGGAACAGUAUCUUUAUCUGAAUACAUAGGAUAUUGAAGGCAGACCCGGGGAACUGAAACAUCUAAGUACCCGGAGGAAGAGAAAGCAAAUGCGAUUUCCUGAGUAGCGGCGAGCGAAACGGAAUUAGCCCAAACCAAGAGGCUUGCCUCUUGGGGUUGUAGGACACUCUAUACGGAGUUACAAAGGAACGAAGUAAAUGAAGCGACCUGGAAAGGUCCGUCGAAGAAGGUAACAACCCUGUAGUUGAAACUUCGUUCCCUCUUGAGUGGAUCCUGAGUACGGCGGAACACGUGAAAUUCCGUCGGAAGCUGGGAGGACCAUCUCCCAAGGCUAAAUACUACCUAGUGACCGAUAGUGAACCAGUACCGUGAGGGAAAGGUGAAAAGCACCCCGGAAGGGGAGUGAAAGAGAUCCUGAAACCGUGUGCCUACAAGUAGUCAGAGCCCGUUAACGGGUGAUGGCGUGCCUUUUGUAGAAUGAACCGGCGAGUUACGAUCCCAUGCAAGGUUAAGCUGAUAAGGCGGAGCCGUAGCGAAAGCGAGUCUGAAUAGGGCGUUUAGUAUGUGGUUGUAGACCCGAAACCAGGUGAUCUACCCAUGUCCAGGGUGAAGUUCAGGUAACACUGAAUGGAGGCCCGAACCCACGCACGUUGAAAAGUGCGGGGAUGAGGUGUGGGUAGCGGAGAAAUUCCAAUCGAACCUGGAGAUAGCUGGUUCUCUCCGAAAUAGCUUUAGGGCUAGCCUCAUGUUGUGAGAGUCUUGGAGGUAGAGCACUGAUUGGACUAGGGGCCCCCAACGGGUUACCGAAUUCAGUCAAACUCCGAAUGCCAAAGACUUAUCCAUGGGAGUCAGACUGCGAGUGAUAAGAUCCGUAGUCAAAAGGGAAACAGCCCAGACCACCAGCUAAGGUCCCCAAGUAUACGUUAAGUGGAAAAGGAUGUGGAGUUGCUUAGACAACCAGGAUGUUGGCUUAGAAGCAGCCACCAUUUAAAGAGUGCGUAAUAGCUCACUGGUCGAGUGACUCUGCGCCGAAAAUGUACCGGGGCUAAACGUAUCACCGAAGCUGUGGAUUGACAUCUUUGAUGUCAGUGGUAGGAGAGCGUUCUAAGUGCUGUGAAGUCAGACCGUAAGGACUGGUGGAGCGCUUAGAAGUGAGAAUGCCGGUAUGAGUAGCGAAAGACAAGUGAGAAUCUUGUCCACCGAAUGCCUAAGGUUUCCUGAGGAAGGCUCGUCCGCUCAGGGUUAGUCGGGACCUAAGCCGAGGCUGAAAAGCGUAGGCGAUGGCCAACAGGUUGAUAUUCCUGUACCACCUCCCCGCCGUUUGAGUAAUGGGGGGACGCAGUAGGAUAGGGUAAGCGCGCUGCUGGAUAUGCGCGUUCAAGCAGUUAGGCUGAUGAGUAGGCAAAUCCGCUCAUCAUAAAGGCUGAGCUGUGAUGACGAGGGAAUUAUAGUACCGAAGUUCCUGAUUCCACACUGCCAAGAAAAGCCUCUAGCGAGGCGGGAGGUGCCCGUACCGCAAACCGACACAGGUAGGCGAGGAGAGAAUCCUAAGGUGAUCGAGAGAACUCUCGUUAAGGAACUCGGCAAAAUGACCCCGUAACUUCGGGAGAAGGGGUGCUCUGGUAGGGUGUAUAGCCCGAGAGAGCCGCAGUGAAUAGGCCCAGGCGACUGUUUAGCAAAAACACAGGUCUCUGCGAAGCCGCAAGGCGAAGUAUAGGGGCUGACGCCUGCCCGGUGCUGGAAGGUUAAGAGGAGGGGUUAUCCUUUGGGAGAAGCUCUGAAUCGAAGCCCCAGUAAACGGCGGCCGUAACUAUAACGGUCCUAAGGUAGCGAAAUUCCUUGUCGGGUAAGUUCCGACCCGCACGAAAGGCGUAACGAUCUGGGCACUGUCUCAACGAGAGACUCGGUGAAAUUAUAGUACCUGUGAAGAUGCAGGUUACCCGCGACAGGACGGAAAGACCCCGUGGAGCUUUACUGUAGCCUGAUAUUGAAUUUUGGUACAGCUUGUACAGGAUAGGUAGGAGCCUGAGAAGCCGGAGCGCUAGCUUCGGUGGAGGCGUCGGUGGGAUACUACCCUGGCUGUAUUGAAAUUCUAACCCGCGGCCCUGAUCGGGCCGGGAGACAGUGUCAGGUGGGCAGUUUGACUGGGGCGGUCGCCUCCUAAAAUGUAACGGAGGCGCCCAAAGGUUCCCUCAGAAUGGUUGGAAAUCAUUCGUAGAGUGUAAAGGCACAAGGGAGCUUGACUGCGAGACCUACAAGUCGAGCAGGGACGAAAGUCGGGCUUAGUGAUCCGGUGGUUCCGCAUGGAAGGGCCAUCGCUCAACGGAUAAAAGCUACCCCGGGGAUAACAGGCUUAUCUCCCCCAAGAGUCCACAUCGACGGGGAGGUUUGGCACCUCGAUGUCGGCUCAUCGCAUCCUGGGGCUGUAGUCGGUCCCAAGGGUUGGGCUGUUCGCCCAUUAAAGCGGUACGCGAGCUGGGUUCAGAACGUCGUGAGACAGUUCGGUCCCUAUCCGUCGUGGGCGUAGGAAAUUUGAGAGGAGCUGUCCUUAGUACGAGAGGACCGGGAUGGACACACCGCUGGUGUACCAGUUGUCUUGCCAAAGGCAUCGCUGGGUAGCUAUGUGUGGACGGGAUAAGUGCUGAAAGCAUCUAAGCAUGAAGCCCCCCUCAAGAUGAGAUUUCCCAUAGCGCAAGCUAGUAAGAUCCCUGAAAGAUGAUCAGGUUGAUAGGUCAGAGGUGGAAGCGUGGCGACAUGUGUAGCUGACUGAUACUAAUCGAUCGAGGACUUAACC
RNAcentral lists this ribosomal RNA (2932 nucleotides) under Priestia megaterium. Its description in RNAcentral is "23S ribosomal RNA". It matches the Rfam family "Bacterial large subunit ribosomal RNA". The record is from RNAcentral. Lineage: Bacteria; Bacillati; Bacillota; Bacilli; Caryophanales; Bacillaceae.